GACGAACGCUGGCGGCGUGCCUAAUACAUGCAAGUCGAACGCACAGUUUAUACCGUAGCUUGCUACACCAUAGACUGUGAGUUGCGAACGGGUGAGUAACGCGUAGGUAACCUGCCUGGUAGCGGGGGAUAACUAUUGGAAACGAUAGCUAAUACCGCAUAAUAUUGAUUAUUGCAUGAUAAUUGAUUGAAAGAUGCUAUUGCAUCACUACCAGAUGGACCUGCGUUGUAUUAGCUAGUAGGUGAGGUAACGGCUCACCUAGGCGACGAUACAUAGCCGACCUGGGAGGGGGAUCGGCCACACUGGGACUGAGACACGGCCCAGACUCCUACGGGAGGCAGCAGUAGGGAAUCUUCGGCAAUGGACGAAAGUCUGACCGAGCAACGCCGCGUGAGUGAAGAAGGUUUUCGGAUCGUAAAGCUCUGUUGUAAGAGAAGAACGGGUGUGAGAGUGGAAAGUUCACACUGUGACGGUAUCUUACCAGAAAGGGACGGCUAACUACGUG
Molecule: ribosomal RNA, 505 nt
Filed under: uncultured bacterium
Lineage: Bacteria
Description: partial 16S ribosomal RNA
Rfam family: Bacterial small subunit ribosomal RNA
Source: RNAcentral